Molecule: ribosomal RNA, 119 nt
Filed under: Helianthus annuus (common sunflower)
Lineage: Eukaryota; Viridiplantae; Streptophyta; Magnoliopsida; Asterales; Asteraceae
Source: RNAcentral
GGCAGCGAUCAUACCAGCACUAAUGCACCGGAUCCCAUCAGAACUCCGCAGUUAAGCGUGCUUGGGCGAGAGUAGUACUAGGAUGGGUGACCCCUUGGGAAGUCCUCGUGUUGCAACCC